This is a long non-coding RNA of Passer domesticus (house sparrow), 2249 nucleotides long. RefSeq lists it as uncharacterized. Lineage: Eukaryota; Metazoa; Chordata; Aves; Passeriformes; Passeridae. The transcript is spliced from 3 exons. The record is from RefSeq and is a predicted model, not a curated record.
GAAAACCCUCUCACUGAAGCCAUUGUUUCCCGAUAGCCAAUCUAAAUCUUCCCUGGUGCAACUUGAGGCUGCUUCCUCUUGUCCUAUUUCUUUUUACUGGUGAGAAGUGAUUACCUUCACCUGACCACAACCUCCUUUCAUGUGGUUUCAGAGAUUGACAAGGUCUCCCCUGAGCCUCCUUUUCUCCAGGCUAAACACCCCCAGCUCUCAGCAGCUCCUCAUAGAACCUGUGCUCCAGACUCUUCACCAGCUUUGCUGCUCUCUGGACAUCUUCAGGAAUGGAGAUGAAGCCAGAGAGCAAAGAAAAUCAUCUUCUCUGCUGAAGCACUGCAAACUUGUUCUCAGGAAGCCUAAGAGAGGGAAUGUAUGUCAACUGGAAAAGAGAGCAGGGAAGAAAAUGAUUGGGAAAAGUUGUCAACUCCCAUAGCACAGCUGAUGACUGCUCUGCUUUCUGCCAGGUGGCUGCAUUCAUCUCUGGGGUGGCUGAAAUCAUCUUUGGGCAACAUUCACCUUCAGAAAAUGCUCAUGGGCACUCAGAUGAAGGUGGUGGAUGUGGUCUACAGGGAAGAGAGUAUUUCCCUCCUGCCCGGCUGACACAGGUGCCUGAAUUACAUCAGCUGGUGAGCACGAAUUUGUUCAAUCCGUGCCCUGCCGGACGCCAGAACGAAGGAUAUUUGUGCGAUUAGAGGCGGCUCCCAGGUGGAACACCAGUAGAUGGCGCUUGGGAAUGUGCAAUCUGCACACUCCGGGGAAAAGCGAAUAAUUUCUGCCUCCAAUUGAUAAAGGACAACAGCUGAGACAUGACUGUCUUAAAGUAAAACCAUGGUAACAUGAUGACCUGUAAUUUCUUAUAACAGAGAUAAAGGCAACUUUUUUUUUUUUUUUUUUUUUUUUUUUUUUUUUUUUUUUUUUUUUUUUUUUUUUUUCCCCAGUACAACCUGGAAAUAUUUGACUCAUUGUAUUUCCCUCUCAGUACCGAGCUCCCCUGAUGGUUCUUGGAAGAUUGGCAAUGUCUGCCUUUGGGGUUCAGAAACCUUAGAGGAAUAUUCACCUGGAUAAUAGGACCUCCUCUGAAGCUCCAUCCCCUCUCACAGUGCUGUUUCCUUCCCUUGUGGUCAAGGCAUCCCCUCCAGCUCCUGCAGGAGAGCUCUGCACAGGGCAGGCAGCAUGAGCAGAAGAUGGUCUUUGGAGAGUGGCAACGGCAAAAAGGGCAUUAAAUUAGGACUGUUGGUCCUGUGCUCCCUGUGCUUUGAAGGGAUCACAGCUAUCCUGCAACAAGACAUGUGGGAUGAUGCUGUGCUGAGUGCCAGGGAAGUGUCUGCCACAGGAAGGGUGUUCUACCUCUCUGUGUCGCCUGCUUUAAGGGAAGGGUAGUAAAAGUCUGCUGCCUUGAUGACCUGGUCCCCACACUUUGUCCAAAGCUCUGCCACCAGUGCUGUAGUGCUGAAAGGAUUUUAAGUCAGCUUGGAUUUUUUUCAUUCCAUUUCUGCACUGCAGGUCUAGUAAGUUAAAUGUCCCAUAGCCAGCUACUCCAUUACACAACAAAGGCUAGGCAUUUGUUGUGCCUGAACAAAUAGCAGCAAAGGAGAAAAAUGUCAGGUGUAGGGGUGUGUGUGGAAUUUAUGCAAUUUUUCAUAGAUAUGACAUACCAUUUUCCUAGCAACUUCACCACAAGGCCCUCAGAGCUGUAGACGGAGGCAAACAGCUUUGCUUUAAUGUGAGAAAGAAAUUCCGCCAGCACUUUGCCAGAGUAAUGGGCAAAAUUAUGCAGCUUUGUCCCCUGAAAAGGCUGGCAUUGCAACAGGCCUUUUUAUCCCAAAUGAGCAGCUGAAUAAUAUUUUUGACAACUUAUUGUGAAGAAAAUGCACAGUGUUUUUGAGAAGGGGUUUGUUUUCCUUUCACACAGUUGCAAACAAUCUCACCUUUUCUCCACUGAUGCAUACCAUACAUCUGAGCACCCCUUUCUAGCCUUAUUAAUAUGGCAUAUUUCAUAUCGUGUAGAAGAUUUUUAAUAACUUACUCGUGGAAAUGUUGACAAAAUCUUCACAUUUCUGCAAAUUUUAUAUAUGCAAAUAAAUCACUGCCUUUCCAUUAAAACUGCAUCCAGAAUUCCUAUUAUUACCCCGAUUUACAUUUGUUUUCUAUAAACCUUUCUCUUCCAAGUGGCUGCAGAAACACUGAUCCAAAAAACCUUGCAGCCAAUCUUGAUGGCCCAAAUCUGAAUUUCUAUUUUAUAAUGGUUUGGAGUA